UAGCUCAGUGGUAGAGCACAUGCUUAGCAUGCAUAAGUCCCUGGGUUCAACCCCUAG
RNAcentral lists this transfer RNA (57 nucleotides) under Heterocephalus glaber (naked mole-rat). It matches the Rfam family "tRNA", at positions 8 to 63 of the family's 71-position model. Rfam says of the family: Transfer RNA (tRNA) molecules are approximately 80 nucleotides in length. Their secondary structure includes four short double-helical elements and three loops (D, anti-codon, and T loops). Further hydrogen bonds mediate the characteristic L-shaped molecular structure. tRNAs have two regions of fundamental functional importance: the anti-codon, which is responsible for specific mRNA codon recognition, and the 3' end, to which the tRNAs corresponding amino acid is attached (by aminoacyl-tRNA synthetases). tRNAs cope with the degeneracy of the genetic code in two manners: having more than one tRNA (with a specific anti-codon) for a particular amino acid; and 'wobble' base-pairing, i.e. permitting non-standard base-pairing at the 3rd anti-codon position. The record is from Rfam by way of RNAcentral. Lineage: Eukaryota; Metazoa; Chordata; Mammalia; Rodentia; Bathyergidae.